This 496-nucleotide ribosomal RNA is filed under the name uncultured bacterium. RNAcentral describes it as "partial 16S ribosomal RNA". It matches the Rfam family "Bacterial small subunit ribosomal RNA", at positions 28 to 507 of the family's 1533-position model. The record is from RNAcentral.
GAUGAACGCUGGCGGCGUGCCUAAUACUUGCAAGUCGAGCGAACAGACGAGGAGCUUGCUCCUCUGACGUUAGCGGCGGACGGGUGAGUAACACGUGGAUAACCUACCUAUAAGACUGGGAUAACUUCGGGAAACCGGAGCUAAUACCGGAUACAUGUUGAACCACAUGGUUCAACAGUGAAAGACGGUCUUGCUGUCACUUAUAGAUGGAUCCGCGCCGCAUUAGCUAGUUGGUAAGGUAACGGCUUACCAAGGCAACGAUGCGUAGCCGACCUGAGAGGGUGAUCGGCCACACUGGAACUGAGACACGGUCCAGACUCCUACGGGAGGCAGCAGUAGGGAAUCUUCCGCAAAGGGCGAAAGCUUGACGGAGCAACGCCGCGUGAGUGAAGAAGGUCUUCGGAUCGUAAAACUCUGUUAUUAGGGAAGAACAAAUGUGUAAGUAACUAUGCACGUCUUGACGGUACCUAAUCAGAAAGCCACGGCUAACUACGUG